AUAGUAGUGUCAGAGUUUGAUCCUGGCUCAGGAUGAACGCUGGCGGCGUGCUUAACACAUGCAAGUCGAACGGACUUGUAUAUCGGAAGUUUUCGGAUGGAAGAUAUAUAAGUUAGUGGCGGACGGGUGAGUAACGCGUGGGUAACCUGCCCUAUACCGGGGGAUAACACUUAGAAAUAGGUGCUAAUACCGCAUAAGCGCACGAGGUCGCAUGACCCAGUGUGAAAAACUCCGGUGGUAUAGGAUGGACCCGCGUCCGAUUAGCCAGUUGGCGGGGUAGAGGCCCACCAAAGCAACGAUCGGUAGCCGGCCUGAGAGGGUGACCGGCCACAUUGGGACUGAGACACGGCCCAA
This 354-nucleotide ribosomal RNA is filed under the name uncultured bacterium. RNAcentral's name for it is "bacterial SSU rRNA". It matches the Rfam family "Bacterial small subunit ribosomal RNA", at positions 1 to 334 of the family's 1533-position model. The record is from RNAcentral.